GAGGAAAAGAAACUAACAAGGAUUCCCCUAGUAGCGGCGAGCGAAGCGGGAAGAGCUCAAAUUUAUAAUCUGGCACCUUCGGUGUCCGAGUUGUAAUCUCUAGAAAUGUUUUCCGCGUUGGACCGCACACAAGUCUGUUGGAAUACAGCGGCAUAGUGGUGAGACCCCCGUAUAUGGUGCGGACGCCCAGCGCUUUGUGAUACAUUUUCGAAGAGUCGAGUUGUUUGGGAAUGCAGCUCAAAUUGGGUGGUAAAUUCCAUCUAAAGCUAAAUAUUGGCGAGAGACCGAUAGCGAACAAGUACCGUGAGGGAAAGAUGAAAAGCACUUUGGAAAGAGAGUUAACAGUACGUGAAAUUGUUGGAAGGGAAACGCUUGAAGUCAGACUUGCUUGCCGAGCAAUCGGUUUGCAGGCCAGCAUCAGUUUUCCGGGAUGGAUAAUGGUAGAGAGAAGGUAGCAGUUUCGGCUGUGUUAUAGCUCUCUGCUGGAUACAUCUUGGGGGACUGAGGAACGCAGUGUGCCUUUGGCGGGGGUUUCGACCUCUUCACACUUAGGAUGCUGGUGGAAUGGCUUUAAACGACCCGUC
Molecule: ribosomal RNA, 584 nt
Filed under: Rhodotorula mucilaginosa
Lineage: Eukaryota; Fungi; Basidiomycota; Microbotryomycetes; Sporidiobolales; Sporidiobolaceae
Description: LSU rRNA
Rfam family: Eukaryotic large subunit ribosomal RNA
Source: RNAcentral